ACACUGACGUCGCGACGCAUAUCAAUAAGCGGAGGAAAAGAAACUAACAAGGAUUCCCUUAGUAACGGCGAGUGAAGCGGGAAGAGCUCAAAUUUGAAAUCUUCAAGGUUCUACCUUGACGAAUUGUAGUUUAAAGAAGUGUUUUCUGUUAGUGGAGUGGCAAAAGUUCUUUGGAAUAGGACAUCAUAGAGGGUGAGAAUCCCGUAUUUGGUCAUUCCUUCUAGCUUUGUGAUACACUUUCAAAGAGUCGGAUUGUUUGGGAAUGCAGUCCAAAAUGGGUGGUAAAUUUCAUCUAAAGCUAAAUAUUGGCGAGAGACCUGAUAGCGAACAAGUACCGUGAGGGAAAGAUGAAAAGAACUUUGAAAAGAGAGUUAAACAGUACGUGAAAUUGUCAAAAGGGAAGCGUUUGACACCAGUGUUGUUUUUCCGAAAAUCAAUUACGAAUGGCUUGAUUUUGUGUUGUAUUGACCUUAUCAGCUUUCUUCACUUUUUUCGAGUCUUUCUUAAUGCACUUUUCGGUUAACAAGUCAACAUCAAUUUCUUUUGUUGUAAAAGAGUAUUCGGAAGGUGGCUUUCUUUUCGGAGAAAGUGUUUAUAGCCCUAUACUUCUACAAUCGGAGAGAUUGAGGUCUGCAGCGUAGAUCCUUCGGGGUUAGAUACAUUUGUGCUAAGUUGUAGCUUUUCAUAGACAACUUGUUGACUAUGUUUAGUCAUGUGGCUUACUCGCUUAUGCUAUUUUACCUACGCUUAGGAUGUUGAGUCGUAGAGCACGCAG
This 775-nucleotide ribosomal RNA is filed under the name uncultured Neocallimastigales. Its description in RNAcentral is "partial large subunit ribosomal RNA". It matches the Rfam family "Eukaryotic large subunit ribosomal RNA", at positions 25 to 634 of the family's 3401-position model. Lineage: Eukaryota; Fungi; Neocallimastigomycota; Neocallimastigomycetes; Neocallimastigales. The record is from RNAcentral.